This 5596-nucleotide long non-coding RNA is filed under the name Trifolium pratense (red clover). RNAcentral describes it as "long non-coding RNA (TPRA_LNC001918)". The record is from RNAcentral. Lineage: Eukaryota; Viridiplantae; Streptophyta; Magnoliopsida; Fabales; Fabaceae.
AGAGGAUGUAACAGAACUUACAAAAGGAGACACUGUUAUUCCAAUCUUCAUGGCGGAUUGUGAAGAGUGUAUAGAUUGCAAAUCAACAAAGAGUAACCUUUGUUCAAAGUUUCCUUUCGAGAUUUCACCUUCGAUGAUUAGAUAUGAUACCAGUAGAUUCACUGAUUUAAACGGAGAGAUCAUACACCAUUUCCUAUUUGUCUCUAGCUUUAGUGAGUACACUGUCGUUGACAUUGCCAAUCUACUCAAGAUUGAUCCUGCAGUUCCUCCCAAUAGGGCCUGCCUCCUCAGUUGUGGUGUAUCAACAGGUAUGCAAACAUUAGAUGAGAUUGGUUACAUGAAUCAAGCGAUGUGUAGUACAUUUAUUAUUAUUCGAUGUAAAAGUUAAUCAUUUACCUCCAAAUUUUUGUCGAUGACUUAAAUUACAAUUUUUCGUCCAAUAUGGUCCUACAUGGCUCGAGGAAUUAAUUUCUGCAAUUGCACGCAGAACAUACUUGUUUGCACAAAAAAAAAUAUGUAAUCAUGGAGAGAAUAUAUGGUUGUGAAAAAUUCAAGGUUGUUCUUUUAUUUUAGUUCACAACUCAAUCACAUUCAUCUAAUUCAAUAUUUUGAUCCAUUCUUAGGGGUAGGUGCUGCUUGGAAAACAGCAAAUGUGGAGCCAGGGUCUACAGUAGCUAUCUUUGGACUGGGAUGUAUUGGAUUAGCAGUAUGGAUUUUCCAUAUAGUUUAUGUUAUCCUUUAGUACUUUGUCGUUUUGUAUGCUACAAUGCUUAUUGCAAUUGAAUGGCUUCUUAGGUUGCUGAGGGAGCUAGACUUUGUGGAGCAACUAGGAUUAUUGGUGUGGAUAUCAAGCCAGAAAAAUUUGAAAUUGGUAAUACAAUAUUUUAUUAAUAACAUCAUCACAUUAAGCAUAUAUUCCAGUACUAAUGUCUUAAUACUAUAAUUUUGAAGUUAUUAUUAUCAAUAUAGUAGUGACACUUCUGAUCGAAGGUGUGUCCGGUGUCUGAGGCAUGUCAAAGUCUGACGCUAACACAUCUGAUUACAUAUAAUUAUUUUUCUCAAAUUAUUACUGACAUUGUUGUGUCUGGUGUUCGUGUCUAUGUCGGUACUUCAUAGAAUAUUAUGUCUAAAUUAUGUAGUAUUUGAUUUCAUGGGUUUGUUUGUUCUCCCGUUUACUCAGGAAAGAAGUUUGGAAUCACAGACUUUGUGCAUGCUGGAGAAUGUGAAAACAAAUCUGUUAGCCAGGUUAUCAUAGAGAUGACUGGUGGGGGAGCAGAUUAUUGCUUUGAAUGUGUUGGUAUGGCAUCAUUGGUGCAUGAAGCAUAUGCUUCAUGUAGAAAGGUCUACUUCUAUCCCUUUGUGCAUAUAGUUUUCAUUUGUAAGACUCAAACACGAGAGUUUGCUUAAGUGAUCUGAGUCCAGUUUCAUUCGGACCAAUGCAAUGUUUAAUUUUGAACUAACUAGUUUGAAAUUUCAUGUUCUUCAUUUGAGUACAAUUUCAUGUUCUUUAAAAUUGGUGUUUUGGUUUCAGGGUUGGGGAAAAACAAUUAUGUUAGGAGUGGACAAGCCAGGAUCUAAGGUUAGCAUCAAUAGUAAUGAUAUUCUUUUUCAAGGGAAGACUCUCAUGGGAUCCAUAUUUGGAGGACUCAAACCCAAAACUGAUGUGCCAAUUCUUUUUAAACGCUACAUGGACAAGGUACUAUGCUCUUUGACCCUCUUUUGGUAACAUAUUGUAAAACUAGUAGUAGUUUAUGUAAAAAUAGUAAUGAUGAAUGAAGUUUUUAGAUGUUUUUGUUAAUUUUUUUGUCUAAUUAAUUAUUAACAGGAACUAAAUUUGGAUGAGUUUGUCACACAUGAGGUGAAGUUUAAAGACAUCAACAAAGCUUUUGAUUUAUUGGUUAAAGGAGAGUGUCUUAGAUGUGUGAUUUGGAUGGACAAAUGAGUUCAUCUUUGUGUAUGUCAAUGUAAUAAUUGUUACAUUUAGACCUUGAAUUAUGUCAAUAUGUAAUAUGUUGAAUAAUGCCAUCUUUUAUAUUUGAUGAAAAAACAUAUUUCAUCUAAAUAUAAAGCCGCCAAUAAGUAUAAAAAGAAUUCGGGUGUUCGAUUCUUAAAUCGUUUAAUUGAGAGGCAUUCAAACCAUGUUGUAAAAAAUCAAAUGUCUCGCUGCAUAGUAGAAUAUAGCUACAUAUAUAGUAGAAUAUAGUUCAACCCGAAUUCGGAAACACCUUGUCGGGUGAUACUCUUAAGAAAACAUGGGAAUGGAUUGUCUACAAUCACUGGAUCAUCCAGUGACAUCAGAACCAUUCAAAAAAAUUGAAAAAGAAAAAGUUGAAGAGAGAGAAGAAAAUUAGUGGUUGAGAUUACCACUUGAGGGACUGCAGUGGAAAAUCCACUAGAGACAAUCCAUUCCUAAAAAACAUGCUCUCCUUGAAAUUCUAUAACUUUCCUUCUCUUAUCAUGAUAACUCUUCUGCCUACUAUGAGACGCUUUCAUUUUCUCUUGUAUUAUCUUAAUCGUCUAAGUUGUCUCUUGAACUAUCUCCGGUCCAAGCACCCCGAUUCAUACCAACACAAUGGUGUCCUAUACCUCCUUCCGUACAAAGCUUCAAACGGUGUCAUCCCAAUACUAGAAUGGAACUAUUGUUAUACGUAAACUUGAUCAAAGAUAACCAUGAAUCCCAACUAUGAAUUUAUGUUACCUUGAAUCCUUACAUUUUUAAGGAUGGAAUUGCAAAAAGAAAAAUAAAUUAACAGAAGAAAAUUAGAACUCGUCCAAAUGACAUAGUAAAAAUAUCUUUAAUCCUUUUGUUUAAUAUUAAAUUUUUUAAUUUUUUAAAUUUAUCUCAGUUGAUAAAACUAUUACAUUAUAUAUGCAGAGCAACCUCAAACACUAUUUAUUUUUCAUUAAUGAUUUUUUUACUAAAAAUAAAUGAUAUUCAUUCAUUCAAAUUUAAAGAGUACAUCGAUACAAUACAAAUUCAAAUUCGCUAAAAAUAAAAAGGAUGAAUCUGUGAACAAACUCACAUAAGCCUACGAAUAUGACUAUAUUGAAGUGUCUGGAAUGUCCAUGUCUCCAGAUCUAUAGCGUUGAUGACACAAAAGUCGACAUCGAAAUAUGAAUUUGCACUUGAUCGAAACUAAUCCUUCAAAUGAACAUCGCACAAAGACGGGAUGACAACAUACACCACACAAUGACGGGACAACACCGCACAAAGACGGGACAACAAAAUACACAAAAACAAACAAAUAUGUGAAAAUCACACUUAUUUAAUAUAACGAGAAAGAAAAACAAUUUGGAGGGGUGAUUUUAGGUCAAGAUUUGACCUGAAAUCAUCCCUCUUUGAUAAACUAAGAAGAAGAAAAAGAAAAAGUGGUGACGGUUAGGGUUAGAAGAGGAGAGGAAAAGAGGAGAGGAAAGUGAAAGUUUAUCUAUAAUCUAUUUUUCAUUAAUGAUGAAAUUCUAACUACAAGCUUAUUUAACAAAAAGUAAUAAUUUGAAUUUGAACUUUAUACUCUCCUAUCUAUCUAACUAUCUGCUCACUCCGUCUCAAAAUAUAAAUAAAAAUUGAUCAACAAAAAUGAAUAUAAUUGGUCCAAAUCUUUAAUCAAAUACAUCAAAUUUAUUUGACUUAUUCUGGUUUACAUUUUUGGACUGAUUAGAACUCAAACUUGCCCACCACAAUGUGGGAUGUAGAUUGCUUGUAGUAACAGAUCAACACGGUUACACUCAGAUUUAAAUCUAGAUUGUUGAUAUCAUAUCAAACAGAUAAAAUUGAAGACUGUACCUUUUUAAUUAAAACAAUCUCGAUCGUUAAUUUUAUAUCAGACAGCUGAUACUGAUUAAGGCGUCCUACUAUAACAGCAGGAAAUCUGCUUCCCAAAUUGCACUCUUUCAACAUGCAAAUGCAUACAAUGCACAUCCUCCACAAAGGCACAAACAUGCUAUACCCCCAUGUGACAUAUAUCUAAACAUUUCAGUGCCCAUCAUCUAUCCAAACUUUCUCAAUUUUGCAUAUUCACCAACCAUAUACUUAUCCAAUUUGUCCAAAAUUGUCUCUUUAUAAGUCCCACUCACUUCAUACACACAUAGCUCAAUCCAAAAUACAUUCUUGCAUGUGUUUUAUUGAAUACUAUAUCCAUGGAAGAUCAACUAGUAAAAACAAGUGAAAAUCAACCCAUAAGAUGUAAAGGUAACUUUGUUUUUCUUUUCAAUUAUUUGUUUUAUGAAACUAUGAAUAUUAACUAUUUUGUUGGAAAUUUUGUAGCUGCGGUUUGUCGCAAACCAGGUGAACCAUUGAUUAUUGAAGAGAUCUUUGUUGCUCCACCAAUGCCACGUGAAGCUAGGAUUCGUAUUAUAUGCACCUCUCUAUGUCAUACCGAUAUCAUUUUUUGCAACAUGCAGGUCUUUAUUUUUGUACUAUGUUUUUGCUGCUUUUAUUUCGCUGAUUUAGCUCUGUUUGGUAUAGUGAGCUUAUAGCUUAUAUUUCUUCUUCCAAUUUUACCCUGUCAAGUAGUUUAUCAGCUUAUAGCUUAUCAUUUUUUCUUCUAAUAUGAGUUUAUAGCAUAUCAUUUUUUCUUCCAAUUUUACCCCUGUCAUCUUAUUUGGAAAAAAAAAUAGCUUAUAAAAAAAAUUGAAAAAAAAUUAAAUAUUAAUUAAACAUAUUUUUUUAAUGUCAUUUCAUACUUAUAAGCUAGUUCAACCGCUAAUUUUACGAAAUACUACAAAUUCAAUCGGCUAACUUAUUCGGUAUAAGCUAAAAGCUAACUUUAUAAGUUAUUCGCUAUAAGCUAGCUUAUCAUCUAUCCGCUAUUUUUUACCAAACAUUGCCUUUUUAAAAGUUUUGAUUAGUAAUUUUUUUUGAAGGGUCCUCCUGCAAUUUUUCCAAGGAUUCUGGGUCAUGAGGCAAUUGGGUGAGUUACGGUCUGUUUGGAUUAAUUUAUUUGAGCUUAUCUAUUGACAUAAGUUUUGCAAGACUGUUUGAAAGAACUUAUGAAAAAAUUUAUGUUACAUGUUAAUUUUUUAUAUUCAAUAUGAGGGUCAAGAUUUAAAUUUGAACAACCAUAAGAUGAGAUAGAUAGUUUCCAUUUGAACAUGAAUUUGAUCUAGAGGAAAACGUAUUUGUAAGCCGUCUGAUCGAGGUUGCAUUUGUGUCUCACAUUGCCAAAGUUCUCCAGUUCUGCGAUGAUUAUAUAUGUACAUCCGCACUUUCAUGCACUGAGCUAACUUUUGAGAGUGAAAUCCAAUCUUGUUUAUCGUGAUAUUAGUGUGGUGCGUAUAUGUACUUGGACACCCUCAUCAGAACGAAAUCCCUUUAACAAUUCGAACAUUGAUUUAAGAGUAAAUUCAUAUGUUGGCCUCAUACUAUGAUGAUGCAGGGUUGUGGAAAGUGUUGGAGAGGAUGUAACAGAACUUACAAAAGGAGACACUGUUAUCCCGAUCUUUUUGGCGGAUUGUGAAGAAUGUAUAGAUUGCAAAUCAACAAAGAGUAACCUUUGCUCGAAGUUUCCUUUCGACAUUUCACCUUCGAUGCUUAGAUAUGGUACCAGUAGAUUCACCGAUCUAAACGGAGGCAUCAUACACCAUUUCGGAUUUGUCU